RNAcentral lists this long non-coding RNA (553 nucleotides) under Hordeum vulgare. Its description in RNAcentral is "long non-coding RNA (HVUL_LNC001812)". The record is from RNAcentral. Lineage: Eukaryota; Viridiplantae; Streptophyta; Magnoliopsida; Poales; Poaceae.
GCUUUUUGGUGUCCUUGAGUUUGGCUUGGGAUGCCUUGGGCAUCCCCAAGCUUGAGCUCUUUCCACUCCUUAUCUCUUUGUCCAUGAGAACAUCACCCAAAACUUGAAAACUUCACAACACAAAACUUAAACAGAAACUCGUGAUAUCAUUAGCACAAGAAAACAAACUACCACCUCCUUUGGUACCGUAGAAAACUUGAAUUCUAUCUACAUUUGUGUUGGGCUACUGUAUUGUCACUUUCCCAUGGCUAGUACCCCCCUAUACUAACCAUAGUUUCAUCAAAACAAGCAACCAACUCAACAAAAACAGAAUCUGUCAAAAACAGACCAGUGUGUAGCAAUCUGUAUACUACGUAUACUUCUGCUACCUCCAAAAUUCUGAACAAUUACGACUGCCUGGGAAAAAGGCAUAUCAACCAUCAUCAAAAAGAAUCAACUCAAAAACUCUUUCUGAAUAAAAAUUAAAAAUCAUCUCAUGAGCGAAAAGUUUCUGUCUUUUUCCAGCAGGAUCAAACAACCAUUACCAAGACUAGUCAUAAAGGUUUUGCUUGGC